Branchiostoma belcheri (Belcher's lancelet) is the source of this 396-nucleotide long non-coding RNA. RefSeq lists it as uncharacterized. NCBI's taxonomy places the organism in Eukaryota, Metazoa, Chordata, Leptocardii, Amphioxiformes, Branchiostomatidae. The transcript is spliced from 4 exons. The record is from RefSeq and is a predicted model, not a curated record.
ACUAUGUCCCAGAGUUCAAUGAGGAAACUUUCGUCCCACAAACGGCACCAAUUUUUAACAACAUCACAGCUAAGGACUUUGUGCAAGUUACUAUUGAACUCGGACCAAAUACUCCGUUUUUCUUCCCAUACGGCUACAAAACCAACACUAGGACCGGUGAUGUCCUGCAGCUGUACGUCAGCAUCCAAGACUAUGUCUUUACGUCUUCUGACCUGGCCUCAGACUUGGGCUAUACCUGUACCUACACGUCCGACGGCUCAACUGUGUCUGCUCUGCUGACCGUACCGACGGACAGCAAUUGGUCCCCUGAAGACUGGCCAUGGGUCCCGGCUAGACUGCGUGUUGACGCGCCGAGUUUUGGCAGUACUGAAGGAGUCUUUAUAUACACCAUUUCUG